RNAcentral lists this ribosomal RNA (377 nucleotides) under uncultured bacterium. RNAcentral's name for it is "bacterial SSU rRNA". It matches the Rfam family "Bacterial small subunit ribosomal RNA", at positions 521 to 896 of the family's 1533-position model. The record is from RNAcentral.
UAAUACGUAGGUGGCAAGCGUUGUCCGGAUUUACUGGGCGUAAAGAGCGCGCAGGCGGUCGUUCAAGUCGCGUGUGAAAGCCCCCGGCUCAACUGGGGAGGGUCACGCGAUACUGAUCGACUCGAAGGCAGGAGAGGGUAGUGGAAUUCCCGGUGUAGUGGUGAAAUGCGUAGAUAUCGGGAGGAACACCAGUGGCGAAGGCGACUACCUGGCCUGUUCUUGACGCUGAGGCGCGAAAGCUAGGGGAGCAAACGGGAUUAGAUACCCCGGUAGUCCUGGCCCUAAACGAUGAAUGCUUGGUGUGGCGGGUAUCGAUCCCUGCCGUGCCGAAGCUAACGCAUUAAGCAUUCCGCCUGGGGAGUACGGUCGCAAGGCUG